GAUGAAGAACGUAGCGAAAUGCGAUAAGUAAUGUGAAUUGCAGAAUUCAGUGAAUCAUCGAAUCUUUGAACCCACAUUGCGCCCGCCAGUAUUCUGGCGGGCAUGCCUGUUCGAGCGUCAUUACAACCCUCAGGCCCCCGGGCCUGGCGUUGGGGAUCGGCGGAAGCCCCCUGCGGGCACAACGCCGUCCCCCAAAUACAGUGGCGGUCCCGCCGCAGCUUCCAUUGCGUAGUAGCUAACACCUCGCAACUGGAGAGCGGCGCGGCCACGCCGUAAAACACCCAACUUCUGAAUGUUGACCUCGAAUCAGGUAGGAAUACCCGCUGAACUUAAGCAUAUCAAUAAGCGGAGGA
This 353-nucleotide unclassified non-coding RNA is filed under the name soil metagenome. RNAcentral describes it as "partial contains 5.8S ribosomal RNA, internal transcribed spacer 2, and large subunit ribosomal RNA". The stretch from base 1 to 120 matches the Rfam family "5.8S ribosomal RNA", at positions 35 to 154 of the family's 154-position model. The record is from RNAcentral.